Molecule: transfer RNA, 73 nt
Filed under: Nocardiopsis camelliae
Lineage: Bacteria; Bacillati; Actinomycetota; Actinomycetes; Streptosporangiales; Nocardiopsidaceae
Also listed under: 2 other names
Description: Nocardiopsis sp. HUAS JQ3 tRNA-Leu
Rfam family: tRNA
About the family: Transfer RNA (tRNA) molecules are approximately 80 nucleotides in length. Their secondary structure includes four short double-helical elements and three loops (D, anti-codon, and T loops). Further hydrogen bonds mediate the characteristic L-shaped molecular structure. tRNAs have two regions of fundamental functional importance: the anti-codon, which is responsible for specific mRNA codon recognition, and the 3' end, to which the tRNAs corresponding amino acid is attached (by aminoacyl-tRNA synthetases). tRNAs cope with the degeneracy of the genetic code in two manners: having more than one tRNA (with a specific anti-codon) for a particular amino acid; and 'wobble' base-pairing, i.e. permitting non-standard base-pairing at the 3rd anti-codon position.
Source: RNAcentral
GCCCUGAUAUCCCAAUGGCAGAGGAAAUGGUCUCAAACACCAUCAAGUGUGGGUUCGAAUCCCACUCAGGGCA